RNAcentral lists this ribosomal RNA (478 nucleotides) under uncultured bacterium. RNAcentral's name for it is "partial 16S ribosomal RNA". It matches the Rfam family "Bacterial small subunit ribosomal RNA", at positions 28 to 523 of the family's 1533-position model. The record is from RNAcentral.
GACGAACGCUGGCGGCGUGCUUAACACAUGCAAGUCGAGCGAUGAAGUUCCUUCGGGAAUGGAUUAGCGGCGGACGGGUGAGUAACACGUGGGUAACCUGCCUCAUAGAGGGGAAUAGCCUUUCGAAAGGAAGAUUAAUACCGCAUAAGAUUGUAGUAUUGCAUGAUACAGCAAUUAAAGGAGUAAUCCGCUAUGAGAUGGAACCGCGUCGCAUUAGCUAGUUGGUGAGGUAACGGCUCACCAAGGCGACGAUGCGUAGCCGACCUGAGAGGGGGAUCGGCGACAUUGGGACUGAGACACGGCCCAGACUCCUCCGGGGGGCAGCAGUGGGGAAUAUUGCACAAUGGUGGAAACCCUGAUGCAGCAACGCCGCGUGAGUGAUGACGGUCUUCGGAUUGUAAAACUCUGUCUUCAGGGACGAUAAUGACGGUACCUGAGGAGGAAGCCACGGCUAACUACGUGCCAGCCGCCGCGGUAA